RNAcentral lists this ribosomal RNA (253 nucleotides) under uncultured bacterium. RNAcentral describes it as "partial 16S ribosomal RNA". It matches the Rfam family "Bacterial small subunit ribosomal RNA", at positions 524 to 776 of the family's 1533-position model. The record is from RNAcentral.
UACGUAGGUGGCAAGCGUUGUCCGGAUUUACUGGGCGUAAAGAGCGCGCAGGCGGUCGUUCAAGUCGCGUGUGAAAGCCCCCGGCUCAACUGGGGAGGGUCACGCGAUACUGAUCGACUGGAAGGCAGGAGAGGGUAGUGGAAUUCCUGGUGUAGCGGUGAAAUGCGCAGAUAUCAGGAAGAACACCCGUGGCGAAGGCGGCUCUCUGGGACGGUACUGACGCUGAGACGCGAAAGCGUGGGGAGCGAACAGG